Molecule: ribosomal RNA, 492 nt
Filed under: uncultured bacterium
Lineage: Bacteria
Description: partial 16S ribosomal RNA
Rfam family: Bacterial small subunit ribosomal RNA
Source: RNAcentral
AGUGAACGCUGGCGGUAGGCCUAACACAUGCAAGUCGAACGGCAGCACAGUAAGAGCUUGCUCUUACGGGUGGCGAGUGGCGGACGGGUGAGGAAUACAUCGGAAUCUACUUUUUCGUGGGGGAUAACGUAGGGAAACUUACGCUAAUACCGCAUACGACCUACGGGUGAAAGCAGGGGAUCUUCGGACCUUGCGCGAUUGAAUGAGCCGAUGUCGGAUUAGCUAGUUGGCGGGGUAAAGGCCCACCAAGGCGACGAUCCGUAGCUGGUCUGAGAGGAUGGUCAGCCACACUGGAACUGAGACACGGUCCAGACUCCUACGGGGGGCAGCAGUGGGGAAUAUUGGACAAUGGGCGCAAGCCUGAUCCAGCCAUACCACGUGGGUGAAGAAGGCCUUCGGGUUGUAAAGCCCUUUUGUUGGGAAAGAAAAGCAGCAGGUUAAUACCCCGCUGUUCUGACGGUACCCAAAGAAUAAGCACCGGCUAACUUCGUG